UACGUAGGGACCGAGCGUUGUCCGGAAUCAUUGGGCGUAAAGCGCGCGUAGGCGGCCCGGUAAGUCCGUUGUGAAAGUCAAAGGCUCAACCUUUGAAUGCCGAUGGAUACUGCCGGGCUCGAGUCCGGAAGAGGCGAGUGGAAUUCCUGGUGUAGCGGUGGAAUGCGCAGAUAUCAGGAGGAACACCGAUAGCGAAGGCAGCUCGCUGGGACGGUACUGACGCUAAGGCGCGAAAGCGUGGGGAGCGAACAGG
RNAcentral lists this ribosomal RNA (253 nucleotides) under uncultured bacterium. Its description in RNAcentral is "partial 16S ribosomal RNA". It matches the Rfam family "Bacterial small subunit ribosomal RNA", at positions 524 to 776 of the family's 1533-position model. The record is from RNAcentral.